RNAcentral lists this ribosomal RNA (513 nucleotides) under Triticum aestivum (bread wheat). RNAcentral's name for it is "partial small subunit ribosomal RNA". Lineage: Eukaryota; Viridiplantae; Streptophyta; Magnoliopsida; Poales; Poaceae. The record is from RNAcentral.
AUGUUCAAAAGAAAUUUGCACCCUCCCCUCACGGAUCAGUGGAAGGAUUUGGUUGAGGUGGUUAGCUCCUGGCAAUUAUCUGACGAGACUGAUCAGAUUAGCUGGGCGGUGGGUAAAAAAGGUAAAUUCUCGACCAAAUCGGUCUAUACCUAUUUGGAAAGGCAUCUGGCUGGAUGUGAUUAUAGAUGGAUCUGGAAAGCAAAAAUCUCCCUCAAAAUUCAAAUUUUUCUUUGGCAAGUGUUCCAAGACGCGAUUCUGACUAGAAAAGUCAUGAGAAAGUGCAAAUGGGCAGGCAAUCCUAAAUGCUCUUUUUGUGAUAAUGUGGAGACCCUACAGCAUCUUUUCUUUACUUGCCCUGUUGCUCGGGUGGUAUGGAAGACGGUAGGAUGUAUGCUGGGCACAUCUCUCUGUCCGAAUAACAUUUGGCAGUACUUUUCCUGGUGUUAUAUUUUCCUUCCUGAUGGAACCAAAUUUUACACCUCUGGUUUGGCAGCAGUUUGUUGGGCAAUCUGA